CGGACGGGUGAGUAAUGUCUGGGGAACUGCCUGAUGGCGGGGGAUAACUACUGGAAACGGUAGCUAAUACCGCAUAAUGUCUGCGGACCAAAGCGGGGGACCUCCGGGCCUCGCGCCAUCAGAUGAACCCAUAUGGGAUUAGCUUGUAGGUAAGGUAACGGCUUACCUAGGCGACGAUCCCUAGCUGGUCUGAGAGGAUGAUCAGCCACACUGGGACUGAGACACGGCCCAG
This 232-nucleotide ribosomal RNA is filed under the name uncultured bacterium. Its description in RNAcentral is "partial 16S ribosomal RNA". It matches the Rfam family "Bacterial small subunit ribosomal RNA", at positions 99 to 334 of the family's 1533-position model. The record is from RNAcentral.